RNAcentral lists this ribosomal RNA (387 nucleotides) under uncultured Nitrospirota bacterium. RNAcentral describes it as "bacterial SSU rRNA". It matches the Rfam family "Bacterial small subunit ribosomal RNA", at positions 108 to 486 of the family's 1533-position model. Lineage: Bacteria; Pseudomonadati; Nitrospirota. The record is from RNAcentral.
GAGGAAUACAUGGGUAACCUACCCUCGAGUGGGGAAUAACUAGCCGAAAGGUUAGCUAAUACCGCGUACGCCUCCCGGACUGCGGUUCGGGAAGGAAAGCGAUACCGUGGGUAUCGCGCUCUUGGAUGGGCUCAUGCCCUAUCAGCUUGUUGGUGAGGUAACGGCUCACCAAGGCUUCGACGGGUAGCUGAUCUGAGAGGAUGAUCAGCCACACUGGCACUGCGACACGGGCCAGACUCCUACGGGAGGCAGCAGUAAGGAGUAUUGCGCAAUGGGCGCAAAGCCUGACGCAGCGACGCCGCGUGGGGGAUGAAGGUCUUCGGAUUGUAAACCCCUUUCGGGAGGGAAGAUGGGAUGGGGUAACCCAAACGGACGGGACCUCCAGAA